CUUAAACUUUUUAUGUAUAUAUAUAUAUAAGAACACAUUAAUUUAAUAAUCUAUAGCUUGUCCUAAAGUAUGUAUAGUUACAUAAAAAGUUAGUUUGUGUGUUAAGAGUUUCAUUUUUUAUUCUUUUUCCCCCUACAUUCAGUUUAGCUGAUAAUGAGAAUGAAUGAUGAAAUUACGUUCGACAAAUGAGUGAACUAUGGCUUAUGCUCAACAGACUACCUCUAGAAAAGACGAAGCCUAUCUUAUCACUUAAAAAUCUGGUUUUGAAUGGCCAAAUUUGGAGCUGCAACUUAAUUUAUGGUAAUAGACCGGAAUCUGCAAUUAGAAACAUGGUACUUGGUCUGAUAAUUACUGUUACUUUGAAAUGGACUGUAAAAAUAAGCAUCUACUACUGAGGCAAUUUCUUCCCUUCCUAAAACGGCAUUCACACUGUCUUCGAUAAAAACGCUGGAGGUCACAAAGUUGCUGUACUGUUGGUUGCUAGAAGACGUUCCUACUCAACCACAGUAUCCAAAUGAAUCAGGUGACAAAUCACAGUCUAGACUCCCAUUGGUUGUCACCGCAUCACUACGCAUUUGCAUAAAGUUAUAUAGCUCAACUUUGUCGCAUCAUCAACAGUCUGACGCUCAAGUCGCCUCAAAUCGCCAACUCUUAUUGGAAUCGAGUGACUUGCAAAGUGGCGUCAGUGUGAACGCCGCUAAACAUCAAGCACAGAGGAACGAUGAAUGGAGUAAUGGUUAAUUUGUUCCUGGGACUAAAAAACAAACAUAGGAAAGUAAUGAAACCUCCACAACAUAUAAAGGACAGUGAAAUGAAAGAAGAAGAGGCGUCUGACAGACAUGAGAGGCGGGGAGGCAGUGAACGGGGUUCUAUCUACAUGUGGAGGCUGUCAAGAUUUACAUGGAUUUAUUAUCUGAGGUAUUCUGUGUUGUAAGGUUUUUUUCUUUAAGUUGAAACAUCACAUAUUGUACAGACAACAGAAACAAAAGAAAUAGUCUUUGUGGCCUUGUGGGUCUCGAGGGACCGAACAAAAUAUCUAAACUUAGAGCGUCCAUUUAUUUAUUUAUUUUUUUGUUUUCCCAGGAAAUUUGUACUUUACAAUCCUCGCUGUUUAUAAAGCACUGAACUAAGGAUAUUUGGCUGAAUCUUUUUAAAUGCAAAAGGCGGUCUGAUAAGGACAUGCAGUUGAGUUGUCCGGCUGUUGGGUGACCUGCUUUCUUGGGCAUGCGACAACAAACUCACUUUUCUCAAGUCAAGGGGACUUAAAUCACGAGUAUUGCCUCGCUGGACUCAUUUUCCCACUCAUAGUUUAAUAUUGCAAAAUAAAAUCACCAAAAAUGUUUUUUUUUACCACUUUACUGGUGGGAUUCUGAAUUAUGGGUGGUAAUAAAAUGGAACCUAAAGGCAAGCGUUUUUUUAAAGUAUUCACAAUAUCAAUAGUAUUAAGAAAUAUAGAAAAGGUAUCAAUCUUUAGCCGAUCCUAAUCAUUCCACUCUCAUGCAUUAACCUGAGGGGGUACGGGAGAAGGGAUCUGAUCCUCAUACUACACUGAACGCCGAACCUUUACAACGUUAAGACUCUACUUUGAGAAUUCCUACGAAACUUUAAAAAUGUAUUUUGAAAAUAUGAACACAAACUGAACAGAUAGCCAAAGGCAUUUUUGCUCCAUAAAACUUACGACUCCAUACAUGGAAAAAUCUACAAAAAGUGUAAGCACAGCACCCCAUCGAGAGAUAAGAUACUGCCCACAGACUGCAUUUGGCUUGAAUUUCAAGGGCACAAACUAAUAUGGUGUGGCAUGACUAUACUAGAUUCUUGAGGAAAUACACAUAACGACGCGUUUCCAACUUUAGAGGUGAUCGGUCAACCUGAUUCUUCCCAAACACUGGUCUUAAAAGCAGUUGAGAUGCAUAACUUGGGACCUUUUGGUCCAAAAAAAUAAUUACCUCUAUCAAAAAUGUGACUUAUUAGAUACACAUAUGUGCAUGCGGAAUGUAUAACUGCUUUCCGACUGAACGGGACCGCGACUUUGGGAAUGACGAGCCAGUGUUAUCCGUGCAUCUGAAAUGCUACAUACAGUACAGCACAUAAGCCGAUCAAACCGCCAACAUGUUUCCACAACCUGAUCGACAAAAGCCUGUAGGGACAGUCAGUCCUUCAAGAUACAAGUCAUUUUUGCUUAACUACCAAAGGGCUCCUAUGUCAAAACCAUCUGAAAGUUGAGGUAGCAAAACUAAUAAUCCUAAUCCCGCAGAACUCAAUGGACUGCAGGGUUGAAACAGUCAUGGAUGAAGUUAAUGGUCAAGAGCAGAUUCAGGCAUGAAAUACCAUGCAAUGCCAACAUAGUAAAAGGACAAAUUGCAGAAGGAAGGACUCUUGUUUGGAAACAUUGUAACUCCCAACACAUUUUCAAUCUAAUAUUCUCUUAAUUUCUGUCUCGGCAAAUUAGCAAGAAAACCAAAUUAACACAAACUAGGUCUACAUUUCAAUGGUAGAAAUAACAUAAAAUACAGAAAAUAAACAAUCUUGGUAUAAAAUAAAAAACGGGAAAAGAAUGUGGGUUUUGCCUUAAUAAAAGCAUAAUUGGAAUAGACACACCUUUACUUGUGAAUGAUCUUGCAAGACUGUCAUGGCAACACAAGGGCAGCCCUUUCACGGCCCAAAGCUCUCAAGUUCUCUAGAAGAACGUUGGCCAUUUGUUCAAGCCCAUUUUCUCCUUUCCACUUUCAUUUGCGUUUUCACAGCUCUAUUUGACCUCUCACUGAGCAAGCAUUGAACCUCUUAAGAACGACUAAGUCAUCAUCGUCAGCCAUAUUAAUAUUUCAUUCUAGAGACAGUAGAGGCAGCGGUCUGGUGUUGAAUUUUUAUGGCUCUGUUCCAUAUAAUUCACAGCUUCACUCAAGCCUUCGAAGGAAGGGUGUAAUUUUAUUGAUAUUAAAAUUCUUUAUGUUGUCCCUGUUUUUUAAUGUUGACUAGAAAAUAACUUUUGGAUUUGAACUUAGUUGUUUGAUUCCCCUAAAAAGCGUAAAUACUGGUAAAUACUCAAAACAUUGAUCAGGGGUGCGUUUCCCGACAGCAUUGUUAGCCCACUAUGGUUGCAUGUUCCGUCGUUACCAACAUAGUUCAACAAUUCAGUGUUUUCUGAAACCACAGUUCAAGCGAACAUUCACAAACAGCAUCGCAAACUUACGUGGUUGGGACUACAGCUCUCCACCUGUGGUUAGAAGCAUAGUUUCUUGUUAGUAAGACGUGGGCUUAAAUAAAUGAUGCUCUUGGGCACAGGAAGCAAGCUAGCAUGCAGUAAAAUCUAUAUCUUCCAUCCUAUUUAAAAAAAUGUG
This is a long non-coding RNA of Sinocyclocheilus anshuiensis, 3338 nucleotides long. RefSeq lists it as uncharacterized. The record is from RefSeq and is a predicted model, not a curated record. Lineage: Eukaryota; Metazoa; Chordata; Actinopteri; Cypriniformes; Cyprinidae. The transcript is spliced from 3 exons.